AAAGCAGGCUCGCGCUUGAAUACAUUAGCAUGGAAUAAUGAAAUAGGACGUUUGACCCUAUUUGUUGGUUUCUAGGAUCGACGUAAUGAUUAAUAGGGAUAGUUGGGGGCAUUAGUAUUCAAUUGUCAGAGGUGAAAUUCUUUGGAUUUAUUGAAGACUAACUACUGCGAAAAGCAUUUUGCCAAGGAUGUUUUCAUUAAUCAAGAACGAAAGUUAGGAGAUCGAAGACGAUCAGAUACCGUCGUAGUCUUAACCAUAAACUAUGCCGACUAGGGAUCGGAUGAUGUUAAUUUUUUAAUGACUCAUUCGGCGCCUUACG
RNAcentral lists this ribosomal RNA (319 nucleotides) under uncultured Glomus. RNAcentral's name for it is "SSU rRNA". It matches the Rfam family "Eukaryotic small subunit ribosomal RNA", at positions 777 to 1092 of the family's 1831-position model. Lineage: Eukaryota; Fungi; Glomeromycota; Glomeromycetes; Glomerales; Glomeraceae. The record is from RNAcentral.